This 87-nucleotide transfer RNA is filed under the name bacterium. RNAcentral describes it as "tRNA-Ser". It matches the Rfam family "tRNA". Rfam says of the family: Transfer RNA (tRNA) molecules are approximately 80 nucleotides in length. Their secondary structure includes four short double-helical elements and three loops (D, anti-codon, and T loops). Further hydrogen bonds mediate the characteristic L-shaped molecular structure. tRNAs have two regions of fundamental functional importance: the anti-codon, which is responsible for specific mRNA codon recognition, and the 3' end, to which the tRNAs corresponding amino acid is attached (by aminoacyl-tRNA synthetases). tRNAs cope with the degeneracy of the genetic code in two manners: having more than one tRNA (with a specific anti-codon) for a particular amino acid; and 'wobble' base-pairing, i.e. permitting non-standard base-pairing at the 3rd anti-codon position. The record is from RNAcentral.
GGAGAGAUGGAUGAGUGGUUUAAAUCAACGGUUUACUAAACCGUCGCUCCUUAAUUGGGGCCGCGAGUUCGAAUCUCGCUCUCUCCG